This 55-nucleotide microRNA precursor is filed under the name Ornithorhynchus anatinus (platypus). RNAcentral's name for it is "microRNA oan-mir-7422a precursor". Lineage: Eukaryota; Metazoa; Chordata; Mammalia; Monotremata; Ornithorhynchidae. The record is from miRBase by way of RNAcentral.
UCUUGAGAGACUCUUGAAGUGCUUUGAUUCUCACACUUCUGAGGCUCUUUCGACA